CAGAGGACCAAAUCCGGUUACACACCCAACAACCCGUCACUGCCGAGGUCCGGUAUUCACUACCGAGGUCCAAAUGCCGGACCUCGGUUUUCAGAGGCCUUAAAUGAGAUAUUUAGUCUUGUUUGAACAUGUUUAUUCGAUUUUCAGCUGGUCCUCGAAAAACGCAAUUAUACGCAUUUUUACUUCCGGUUGUGUAAAGUGUGUUAUCUUGGACGAACUGCGCGCGUGUGUAAGUUUUUCAGGUGGCAAGGUCACGUGGAAGAGAAUAGAGAUGAAUAAGGAAAUGCAAAAUCACGCUGCUCCAUGAUGUGGUCUCAUCACUUGUAAGUUGUUUGCGUUUGGUAUAAGCAUUUAAAUCACAUUGAAUCACGUUGAAACUGGUGAUGAAAGAUAUUAAUGUAAAUUGUGUUAAGUCACAUGGGAUACGUAGCUCUAUCGCCGCCAUUGCGCGUUCUUGGAACGAGCGCGACGGUGACGUUGCGGUGUGCGGCCUCUCGGACGAGAAGACUGGGCUUACGUUGGAUGCAAGUUAUUGUCGUCCGGCAAGGUUUUAAAAAGUGAUGUUAUAGCCACUGGACAUUGAAGCGAUUGAAGACCAGAAAGCCUUAGUGCGACCGGCUUGAUUCAGAUUACUCCCGAGAGCGACACUCGUUAAGGAUGCGAGUAUUUGAAGUUCCGCUUUCAAGCAUUGGACGGCCUGCAAAUUACCAUUGGAGCCAAACUGUAUGCAUUUUCUAGAUGAUCUUAAAUACGGAGCGGUAUUCUAAAGAUGUAGUUGUGCAGUGUGUAGUUCGUAGAUUACGAAACAACGGAGCGAGAAUACAGUUGGCGUUCCGUUUUGGGUCAGUUAUUUUGUUUUCCUUUUUCCAUGUUUUAAAGUCGCUGUGCUUUAUGCUCAGGAUCGAAGCAAAAUGUACAGGAGUAGGCUGCGAUGUGAUGCGUGUUGUAUAAAACCAAUAAACCAAAAAUGGCA
This is a long non-coding RNA of Pollicipes pollicipes, 973 nucleotides long. RefSeq lists it as uncharacterized. The record is from RefSeq and is a predicted model, not a curated record. Lineage: Eukaryota; Metazoa; Arthropoda; Thecostraca; Pollicipedomorpha; Pollicipedidae. The transcript is spliced from 3 exons.